RNAcentral lists this transfer RNA (76 nucleotides) under Pseudomonadota bacterium. Its description in RNAcentral is "Proteobacteria bacterium tRNA-Lys". It matches the Rfam family "tRNA". Rfam says of the family: Transfer RNA (tRNA) molecules are approximately 80 nucleotides in length. Their secondary structure includes four short double-helical elements and three loops (D, anti-codon, and T loops). Lineage: Bacteria; Pseudomonadati; Pseudomonadota. The record is from RNAcentral.
GGGCCGCUAGCUCAAUUGGUAGAGCAGCGGGCUUUUAACCCGUCGGUUCCGGGUUCGAGUCCCGGGCGGCCCACCA